This 406-nucleotide ribosomal RNA is filed under the name uncultured bacterium. RNAcentral describes it as "partial 16S ribosomal RNA". It matches the Rfam family "Bacterial small subunit ribosomal RNA", at positions 29 to 526 of the family's 1533-position model. The record is from RNAcentral.
AUUGAACGCUGGCGGCGGGCCUUACACAUGCAAGUCGGACGAGAGGCGAACGGGUGAGUAACGCAUCGGAACGUACCGAGGAAUGGGGGAUAACUGACCGAAAGGACAGCUACUACCGCAUAGUAUUCGAGCGGCCGAUGUUUGAUUAGCUUGUUGGAGGGGUAAAGGCCCACCAAGGCGACGAACAGGAGCGGGGCUGAGAGGAAGAGCCGGCACACUGGGACUGAGACACGGCCCAGCCUCCUACGGGAGGCAGCAGUGGGGAAUUUUGGACAAUGGGCGCAAGCCUGAUCCAGCCAUGCCGCGUGUCUGAAGAAGGCCUUCGGGUUGUAAAGGACUUUUGUCAGGGAAGCGUUACCUGCAGAAUAAGCACCGGCUAACUCCGUGCCAGCCGCCGCGGUAAUUC